UAGGGAAUCUUCGGCAAUGGGGGCAACCCUGACCGAGCAACGCCGCGUGAGUGAAGAAGGUUUUCGGAUCGUAAAGCUCUGUUGUCAGCCAAGAACGUCUAUAGGAGUGGAAAAUCUAUAGAGUGACGGCAACUGACCAGAAAGGGACGGCUAACUACGUG
Molecule: ribosomal RNA, 161 nt
Filed under: uncultured bacterium
Lineage: Bacteria
Description: partial 16S ribosomal RNA
Rfam family: Bacterial small subunit ribosomal RNA
Source: RNAcentral